AUGAACGCUGGCGGCGUGCCUAAUACAUGCAAGUCGAGCGAACAGACGAGGAGCUUGCUCCUCUGACGUUAGCGGCGGACGGGUGAGUAACACGUGGAUAACCUACCUAUAAGACUGGGAUAACUUCGGGAAACCGGAGCUAAUACCGGAUAAUAUAUUGAACCGCAUGGUUCAAUAGUGAAAGACGGUUUUGCUGUCACUUAUAGAUGGAUCCGCGCCGCAUUAGCUAGUUGGUAAGGUAACGGCUUACCAAGGCGACGAUGCGUAGCCGACCUGAGAGGGUGAUCGGCCACACUGGAACCGAGACACGGUCCAGACUCCUACGGGAGGCAGCAGUAGGGAAUCUUCCGCAAUGGGCGAAAGCCUGACGGAGCAACGCCGCGUGAGUGAUGAAGGUCUUCGGAUCGUAAAACUCUGUUAUUAGGGAAGAACAAAUGUGUAAGUAACUAUGCACGUCUUGACGGUACCUAAUCAGAAAGCCACGGCUAACUACGUG
This 496-nucleotide ribosomal RNA is filed under the name uncultured bacterium. RNAcentral describes it as "partial 16S ribosomal RNA". It matches the Rfam family "Bacterial small subunit ribosomal RNA", at positions 29 to 507 of the family's 1533-position model. The record is from RNAcentral.